GGAAGUGUGCCCGAAUAACAAAGGGCUACUUUGAUAGAGUACGACACAGGGGUUUAAACCCCCUCACUUCC
This 71-nucleotide transfer RNA is filed under the name Acontias gariepensis. Its description in RNAcentral is "tRNA-Ile". Lineage: Eukaryota; Metazoa; Chordata; Lepidosauria; Squamata; Scincidae. The record is from RNAcentral.